UACGUAGGCGGUUAGAUAAGUCAGAUGUAAAAGCGUGGGGCUCAACCCCAUAAAGCAUUUGAAACUGUGUAACUUGAGUAGUGGAGAGGAAAGUGGAAUUCCUAGUGUAGCGGUGAAAUGCGUAGAUAUUAGGAGGAAUACCAGUGGCGAAGGCGACUUUCUGGACACAAACUGACGCUGAGGAGCGAAAGCGUGGGGAGCGAACA
RNAcentral lists this ribosomal RNA (206 nucleotides) under uncultured bacterium. RNAcentral describes it as "partial 16S ribosomal RNA". It matches the Rfam family "Bacterial small subunit ribosomal RNA", at positions 568 to 774 of the family's 1533-position model. The record is from RNAcentral.